Molecule: long non-coding RNA, 301 nt
Filed under: Hordeum vulgare
Lineage: Eukaryota; Viridiplantae; Streptophyta; Magnoliopsida; Poales; Poaceae
Description: long non-coding RNA (HVUL_LNC016040)
Source: RNAcentral
GCGUGCGUGGCUCCUUCCAUGUCCGCCCCGAGACGCGCCCGGCGAUGACGCCGUCGUAGGUGGGCUGCCCGAAGGCCGCCGGCUUGGACGGGUCGGACUGGGAGGGCACCGCACGGAGCUUGGACGGCCGGGGGGCGUCGGCGUCGAGGUCCAUGGAAUCGGCGGCAUCUGCCUCCUCCUCCCGGCGCUUGCGCUUUCCGCGCUCGCCGCCGAGGCCCUCGUCGAGGUAGCGGAAGUCGAGGUGCGAGGCCAUGGGGGGAGACUGGGAACUAGCUAGGGUUUCGCCGCCUUUGGGGCUGGG